ACGCUCGACACCUACGGGAGGCAGCAGGUGGGGAAUAUUGCACAAGUGGGGGAAACCCUGAUGCAGCGAUGCCGCGUGAAGGAAGAAGUAUCUCGGUAUGUAAACUUCUAUCAGCAGGGAAGAAAAUGACGGUACCUGACUAAGAAGCCCCGGCUAACUACGUGCCAGCAGGCCGGGUAAUCUGAGCGGGCUGGCAAGGC
This 200-nucleotide ribosomal RNA is filed under the name uncultured bacterium. RNAcentral describes it as "partial 16S ribosomal RNA". It matches the Rfam family "Bacterial small subunit ribosomal RNA", at positions 328 to 539 of the family's 1533-position model. The record is from RNAcentral.